AUUUGAUCUCAAAUCAGGUAGGACUACCCGCUGAACUUAAGC
Molecule: ribosomal RNA, 42 nt
Filed under: Tomentella stuposa
Lineage: Eukaryota; Fungi; Basidiomycota; Agaricomycetes; Thelephorales; Thelephoraceae
Also listed under: 1 other name
Description: partial 28S ribosomal RNA
Source: RNAcentral